AAUAGAUACCCGGGUAGUCCACCCCGUAAACGUUGGGAACUAGUUGUGGGGUCCUUUCCACGGAUUCCGUGACGCAGCUAACGCAUUAAGUUCCCCGCCUGGGGAGUACGGCCGCAAGGCUAAAACUCAAAGGAAUUGACGGGGACCCGCACAAGCGGCGGAGCAUGCGGAUUAAUUCGAUGCAACGCGAAGAACCUUACCAAGGCUUGACAUACACGAGAACACCCUAGAAAUAGGGGACUCUUUGGACACUCGUGAACAGGUGGUGCAUGGUUGUCGUCAGCUCGUGUCGUGAGAUGUUGGGUUAAGUCCCGCAACGAGCGCAACCCUCGUUCUAUGUUGCCAGCACGUAAUGGUGGGAACUCAUGGGAUACUGCCGGGGUCAACUCGGAGGAAGGUGGGGAUGACGUCAAAUCAUCAUGCCCCUUAUGUCUUGGGCUUCACGCAUGCUACAAUGGCCGGUACAAAGGGCUGCAAUACCGUGAGGUGGAGCGAAUCCCAAAAAGCCGGUCCCAGUUCGGAUUGAGGUCUGCAACUCGACCUCAUGGAAC
RNAcentral lists this ribosomal RNA (551 nucleotides) under uncultured bacterium. Its description in RNAcentral is "bacterial SSU rRNA". It matches the Rfam family "Bacterial small subunit ribosomal RNA", at positions 777 to 1326 of the family's 1533-position model. The record is from RNAcentral.